Molecule: transfer RNA, 76 nt
Filed under: Gammaproteobacteria bacterium
Lineage: Bacteria; Pseudomonadati; Pseudomonadota; Gammaproteobacteria
Description: tRNA-Gln
Rfam family: tRNA
About the family: Transfer RNA (tRNA) molecules are approximately 80 nucleotides in length. Their secondary structure includes four short double-helical elements and three loops (D, anti-codon, and T loops).
Source: RNAcentral
UGGGCCGUGGCGAAGCGGUUAACGCAUCAGGUUUUGAUCCUGACAUACGUAGGUUCGAUCCCUACCGGCCCAGCCA